Molecule: long non-coding RNA, 938 nt
Filed under: Volvox carteri
Lineage: Eukaryota; Viridiplantae; Chlorophyta; Chlorophyceae; Chlamydomonadales; Volvocaceae
Description: long non-coding RNA (VCAR_LNC002097)
Source: RNAcentral
GGAAACUGGGCAGGAUCGAAGGCCUCCUUGGCUGCUUGAUGGAAGCUGAUGCGAAGAGGAUCGGCCGGUGUGUGCGCUGUUUGCUCGGUCAAUCGUCUGAACUCGGCAGGGCACGCACGCACAGUCCGUUUCAUCUUAUAAGGUUUGGCUUAACGCUGCCUGUCUUAACGCUUUCUUUAAGCCUGCCUACCUACCUGCCUGCCUGCCUGCCUACUGCCUACCUGCCUAACUGCCUGCCUGCCUGCCUACCUGCCUGCCUACCUACCUGCCUACCUGCCUGCCUACCUGCCUGCCUACCUACCUGCCUACCUGCCUGCCUGCCUGCCUGCCUACCUGCCUGCCUACCUACCUGCCUACCUACCUGCCUACCUGCCUACCUGCCUACCUGCCUACCUGCCUACCUGCCUACCUGCCUGCCUACCUACCUGCCUACCUGCCUGCCUACCUGCCUGCCUACCUACCUGCCUACCUGCCUACCUGCCUGCCUGCCUACCUGCCUGCCUACCUGCCUGCCUACCUACCUGCCUACCUGCCUACCUGCCUACCUGCCUACCUGCCUACCUGCCUACCUGCCUGCUUGCCUACCUGCCUGCCUACCUACCUGCCUACCUGCCUGCCUGCCUACCUGCCUGCCUACCUACCUGCCUACCUGCCAACCUGCCUACCUGCCUACCUGCCUGCCUGCCUACCUACCUGCCUACCUGCCUACCUGCCUACCUGCCUACCUGCCUGCCUGCCUACCUGCCUGCCUACCUGCCUACCUGCCUACCUGCCUACAUGCUAUGCGGUAUAUUUGUGCUGACACAACGCUACUAGAUGCAUGGGCGUGUUUGUGAGGUGUCAGUUCGUGCAUGCAGCCGAACUCUUUUCGGAGCCGGCGAAUCAUUUCACUGGAGGUGAACUACAGUGUGUGUCGGUAUGUAUACUUACGUCAUCUU